Molecule: ribosomal RNA, 281 nt
Filed under: Paragonimus westermani
Lineage: Eukaryota; Metazoa; Platyhelminthes; Trematoda; Plagiorchiida; Troglotrematidae
Description: partial small subunit ribosomal RNA
Source: RNAcentral
GGGCGCUCUUUGGGUAGAAUCUUUGAGUUUCGUCGAAAUGUGUCCGCAUCCCUUUUUGACGCUUUUUAGGAAAAGGAUUAGAGACCCUUGUACUGAGUGUGACACUUUGUGGCCAUGGUGGGAACUAAAAGGAUUUGGCAGCUGAUGAGGUUCUUCCGGGGGAGUGUGUGGCAUAAGAGAUAGUCCACUUAGGAUCCUGCCAUCAUUAUCAGUUAGUGUACGUCCGGUUUAAGAUUCGUGAUUUGUGUCAAGGAGUGUCAUGGUUUGAUUUAAUCCAGGUC